Molecule: ribosomal RNA, 589 nt
Filed under: Arthrinium sp. R170
Lineage: Eukaryota; Fungi; Ascomycota; Sordariomycetes; Amphisphaeriales; Apiosporaceae
Description: eukaryotic LSU rRNA
Rfam family: 5.8S ribosomal RNA (bases 225-378)
Source: RNAcentral
UCGUAACUAGGUCUCCGUUGGUGAACCAGCGGAGGGAUCAUUACAGAGUUAUACAACUCCCAUACCAUCUGUUAACCUACCCAGUUAUGCCUCGGCGUAAGCUCGGUUGGAGGCACCUGCAGCUACCCUGUAGUUGCGGACUGCCAACUCCAGCCGCGGCCCGCCGGCGGUACACUAAACUCUGUUUUAUUUUAUAUUCUGAGCGUCUUAUUUUAAUAAGUUAAAACUUUCAACAACGGAUCUCUUGGUUCUGGCAUCGAUGAAGAACGCAGCGAAAUGCGAUAAGUAAUGUGAAUUGCAGAAUUCAGUGAAUCAUCGAAUCUUUGAACGCACAUUGCGCCCAUCAGUAUUCUGGUGGGCAUGCCUGUUCGAGCGUCAUUUCAACCCUUAAGCCUAGCUUAGUGUUGGGAAUCUGCUGUACUGCAGUUCCUUAAAGACAGUGGCGGAGCGGCGGUAGUCCUCUGAGCGUAGUAAUUUAUUUCUCGCUUUUGUCAGGCUCUGUCCUCCCGCCAUAAAACCCCCAAUUUUUUAGUGGUUGACCUCGGAUCAGGUAGGAAUACCCGCUGAACUUAAGCAUAUCAUACGCGAA